AAAAUAUGCAAUAUGUGACAUAUCUUAUAGGAAUACCAUACUCUGCAGCUGUUAGAAAUGUUGACUGAUUAACUGAUUAUAUAUCAUUAAAUAAUAAUCAUGUUUCAUUAUUUACUGUUCAGUAUUUCAACAAUUAUUUAGUAGUACAAUUUCUGAUAGAAUUCUUAAUAAGAUAUAUCUUUUGGGAUGUUAUCUAUAAAUUAUCAAGAUACAUGAGCAAUAUGUAAAGGCAUUGAUAACCUAUUUUAAUAUCAUUUGUAAUUUAUAAUGAAUUAUGACCUAAAUAUAUAUUGAUUAAAUUAUCACUUGAUUUGAUUAGGGAGUAUUCAACACAUGUUGAUUGAAGAAUUGCCAUGUAAAAGCAAUAGGCUAGUUUCCAAGGUGCUCAUGUAGUCAGAAAACAAAAUGAUGUGGUUCUACGUAACUUUCCAAUUGAAAUAAACAUUAUAUCAAAUUAAUAUUUGUAGGUAACACAUUUAAUGAACCUGUCAAUUUUACUAGUGACUCAAACUGCAAAUGCAGUUUUGCAAAGAAAACCACUCCAUUAUAGACAGUAAAUUAAUACAAUGAAAAUUAUCUAUGAUGUAUAGUGUGUGCUUGAUAUACCUGAUUCUAAAGUAGAUGAGAGCUUUCAAUUGUAAGUGAGUAAGUGAGACAAUAAAUCCAAAGCAGUGAUUUUCAAAUUGUGUUUCACAGAUACCUAGAGGGCUUCAGAACCUUGUCUGAGAGGGGAAAGCUGAAUGGGCAGGAGGGAUAUUGAUUAGAAGAUCUAAUUUACAUAUUGGCAUCUCCUAAAUUUCUUUGAAGACCAAGCUGUACUUUAAAAGAAAGGGUCCUGGUGAGACAACCUCUUGCAAAUAGCAUCCUCUUCCCCAGUUGUUAGUCUGCACGUGGAAGUUUCUGAAGCACUUAUUGCUGGUACCACUCAUCUGAUAUUUGUUACAUGCUAUCACACUCCUUUUUACUAGGAUUUGAAGUUCGCAGUUCUUUUUGGCUGUAAUCUGCUCUACUACAUGAAAAGACAACCCACAGGAUGGGAGAUAAUAUUUCCAAAUGAUGUGACUGACAAGCAGUGAAUCUCCAAAAUAUACAAAUGACUCAUACAA
Long non-coding RNA from Sus scrofa (pig), 1106 nucleotides. RefSeq lists it as uncharacterized. Lineage: Eukaryota; Metazoa; Chordata; Mammalia; Artiodactyla; Suidae. The record is from RefSeq and is a predicted model, not a curated record.